This 212-nucleotide unclassified non-coding RNA is filed under the name Hevea brasiliensis (rubber tree). Lineage: Eukaryota; Viridiplantae; Streptophyta; Magnoliopsida; Malpighiales; Euphorbiaceae. The record is from RNAcentral.
UAUUUCAGGUCGCUGCGUUCGAUGAAGUCGAGCGCCUGCGCGCCCUCGGCCGCUGCGCGCAGUUCCUCAUCAGUCGCGUCGGGCUUGCCGACCCGCAGAUUCUCGGCGGGUUGAACAGCAGCGCUUCCUGGAACACCACGCCGAUAUUCCGGCGCAGCGCCGCGAGCGUCAUGCCGCGAAUGUCCAUGCCGUCGACCUUGAUGACGCCCGAC